This 392-nucleotide unclassified non-coding RNA is filed under the name Hevea brasiliensis (rubber tree). The record is from RNAcentral. Lineage: Eukaryota; Viridiplantae; Streptophyta; Magnoliopsida; Malpighiales; Euphorbiaceae.
GAAUCCUUCCCAAAUAAUACUUGUCGAAUUCCAAGCUAAAAAAGAACCAUAUGUCUGCAACAUGAAAAAUGAAUUGAGAAGCUAAUUCAUGUAGGAAGAUCUUUUCCUUAAUUACAAGACCCAAUCUUUCGACCUUAAUAGCAACAAUAAUUUGCGUUCUUGAAGGAUAUUUCUCAAUUACAAGAGCCAGAGUAUCUGCAAUAUCAUUGCCUUCUUGAAAAGCUUCAUCUUCCAUAAUCUUGCACUUAUCCAAGAUUUCAGUGCAUUCUUUAAGUCUCUUUCUAUUGGACCAUGACAGCCCUACAACAUCUGCACUACCUUCUUUCCAUUUGAAAGGUUCCAAAAAAUGGCAGCACACUUGUUGAACCUCUUCUUCAAUGGUAUCAAUGGCA